AAAUUUGAAUGCUCCGUUGUGGAAACACUGGUUUGAUUCAGUCUAUAUCCAGAGGUCUAUAUCUAUGUUCAGUGAACUGUAAUCACUGGUUUGAUUGUACCUUUCUCUCCUGGUUUUCCUUUGUUCACUAUUUGCACUGGUUAUUUUUUUCAUUUGUCAUCUUUUUAUCUUCAACUUUAGGUAUGUGUGAUCGUGUUUUGAUAUGUUUUUGUUAAAAAUAGUGUUGAACCGGGGAUUGUAUAUGCAAAUGACGUAUUUAUGUAAAUAUUAACUCUAUAACAAUUGUGUGUCGAUAAGUAAUUAUUGAUUGAUCAACGAGACGAGACAACUAGCUUUCUUGCAAAUCAUAUCGGUUGAUGCUUGACAACCUGCCGGAACUACCAACGUGCUUUUUGUUUUGUCUCGUUGAUCAGGGGCGCCGGAAAG
Molecule: non-coding RNA, 426 nt
Organism: Paramuricea clavata
Lineage: Eukaryota; Metazoa; Cnidaria; Anthozoa; Malacalcyonacea; Plexauridae
Source: the annotation of a GenBank genome assembly